Rosa chinensis is the source of this 1085-nucleotide long non-coding RNA. RefSeq lists it as uncharacterized. The record is from RefSeq and is a predicted model, not a curated record. NCBI's taxonomy places the organism in Eukaryota, Viridiplantae, Streptophyta, Magnoliopsida, Rosales, Rosaceae. The transcript is spliced from 2 exons.
AAGCCUAGGGCCUCAGAUGUUAGGGGCCUCAAAAAAAAAAUUAUGUAGGCCUGCAGAUAUUAAAAAAAAAAAAAAAAAAGAGAAGAAGUUAACGAAACAAUCUAAGAGGAGGAGUUUGAGACGGGACUUUUUAUUAGAUCAUAUCCCUUCUUUUGAUUCCACCUCUUUAGGCGUAACCUUGAAAUUCUCCGGGACGGUGCGAACCUCGCGAUUUCCUUAUGGCUCUCGUCUUCCUCCCUAGCUAAUCUCUAUGUUCUCUCUCCUCUAUGGGCUUUCGUUUUCUGUUUUCAUUAUAGGGUUUUGUCCCAGAUUCACUCCCAAUUCGGUUUUUGUCUAUGAGCUAUCAACUUCUUCAUCGUCUUCACCAAAGAGAACAAUACCCAUCAGGGUUGAAGAAUUUCACGAACACAUUGUUCCUCUGUCUCGGAUUUGAUGGCAAGCAAAUUGGGUUUUGCAAAUUGAAGGAAAAUCUUCCAAUCAAGCAAAAUGGUGUUGCCCACUUCGACUAGCUCUGUGAAGCAGUGGUUGAAGAAAUCUUGUAUUCCUUAUGUCCCAUAGGGCAGGAGGUUAUUAGAGCAAUAUUGGAUAGGAUAGCCUAUUGUGAAUUUGUACUAGUGAUUUUGGGGAGAAUGUGGUCGAUUCAUCAGGACAUGGGUUGAAUUCGAAUUCAGGUUUGGAGGUCCAGAGCAAUGGGAAUCCAGAGAGCUAUAUGGGUUUGCAAAGUGGUGAUUCGAGCUGUUGGGUGGCCUGACCUUGCCAUUUACACCCCACGUUCGGGUUUUCAGUAGAUAAUUAGAUAAUGCUUUUCAUAUAUAUUAGUCUAUGAUAUAAUGUUUCACACUGGAAACUAUGAUUGCGUACGUAGAGAAAUGGAGCAUGAAUGACUCUUUAGGCUUAAUGCUAAGCAGCUUUAAGAUUUUAAUUUUAGAAUUUUCUGAGGUUAUAGAGAGGGUGAGAAACACCAAAGUCCACAGAGCCAUACCAAAGUGUUCUGUAUGUAAUGGCUUGUUUUGUUCUCUUUUGUGUGGUUUUUGGUUGUAUAUGAUGUAACUUAAAUAUGAAUGACCUUUUCUUCUUCUCUUUUA